AUGAGAAUUUUAAAUGAGGCGCUCCGCUCAUAAAGAUAAAGGUGGAGUUUACUGUUGAAUAAAUAAUAUUAAUAGUAAAUUUUAUGUAGGUAGUUCUACUGAUUUAAGAACUAGAUGAGCUUGCGCCAUAAAUAUUAUAGUAUUAAAAACUUAAAUGAAAAAAGAACACCUAUACAUAAUGCCUUGUUAAAAUAUGGAUAUAGUAAUUUUUCAUUGGUAAUAUUAGAAUAUACAGGUGGGCUUUAUUUCCGAUCCUACGGAUCGGAAAUCAGCAAGCUAUAGCUCAUGAAAAUCCCAUAAAUAAAGAACAACUUUAUUUAGACUUGUUAAAACCUGAAUAUAAUAUAUUAGGUACAGCAGGUUCUAGUUUAGGAUUUAAACAUUCAGAACAAACUCUAGAGUAUUUUAGAGAAAAUCGAAUAGUUUCAGAUGAAACUCGUAAUAAUUUAAGUAUAGCCGCUAGAGAAAGAAUAUUACCUCAAGAGGUUCGAGAUAAAAUAUCCGAAAAUCGUAAAGGUAUAAAGCUUUCGGAUAAUACGCGUGCAAAGAUUUCAGAGUCAGCUAUACUUUUAAGAGGUGUAAAAGUAAACGUAACUAACGUCGAAACUAAUGAGGUAUUAUCUUUUGAUAAUUUAACCUCUGCUGCUAAACACAUAGGUGUUAGCAGACCGGCCGUAGCCAAGGCUUUAAAAACUGGUAGUCUAAUUAAAGGCACAUUUAAAAUCAACGAAUAGUUGAUUAAUUAGUAUUUAUUAUUUGUUAAAUGGACGAUUAAGUAUUUAUAGGUUACUUAAUUGUUUAGGGAGAAGGACUUCAGCUUUAUCUGGCGUAAGCCUGAUAGAAGAAGUAGAUUCGUUUCUGCGAAACCUAUAAUAGUAGGCAAUUUAAGUAUAAUAUCUUAGCAGGUACAGAAUUUAAUCUCAGACAAGACAUAACAUGUAUGUUUUAUUUUGUACAAAUGGGGGGAUCAUGAAGAUUUUAUCCGUGAGUAUGCAGACUCGGAAUGGCAAAGAUAUAUCUUAAAUUAUCAGACAUAGAAUGAUAAGGUUGUAUGUCAAAAGGGAAACAGCCCAGAACAAGAGUUAAGGUUCCUAAAUUAUUCGUUGAGUGAAAUUAAGAAGGUUUUUAUUAAAGUCGACAAGGAGAUAGGCUUAGAAGCAGCCAUAAUUUUAUGACCUCGUAACAGAGCGCUUGUUAAAUUUUAAAAGCAUCGAAAAUUUAUCGGAUCUAAACAAUAUACCGAAACCUUGUCCAUAAUAAUUUAUAAUAAUUCAAGGCUGAGCUUGCUGUAUUUCUGGCGCAAGCAAAGAAAUACAGCAAGCUCUAGCUUUUUAUAAUUAAAUGGGGUAGCAGAACGUUGAGCUAAAUUAUGAUUUUCAUUUUUUAAAUGAAAUUAUGUGCGGCUUUCACCGUAAAGUGCCUAAAUUUAACUCAAGUGAUAAUGGUGACAUGAGUAACUAAAAGAAAAUAAAAUUUUCCGCCUUAAGCUUAUGGAUGUAAUUAAGUAACGGCCUCUAAGUUUAUAUUAUCUAAAGAUUUAAACGAUGAGAUAAUCUUUAUUACUAAGGACGACAUUUAAAGUGAUAAAUGUACUGGAAAAAUAGUAAUAUAUUUAUAUAUGAGCUCUUGCUCUAUAUAAAUGAAAAGUAACCGUACCUAGAAUCUGAAACAAGUAAGCUAGUAGAGAAUACGAAGGCGUAAAUGAGCUAACAAUCAUAAAGGAACUCGGCAAAUUGACUACCGUAACUUCGGGAUAAGGAGAGCUCAUUAUUCUUGAUUAAUAUCAAGUAAAGAGGAAGAAGCAUGAAAUAGUGUUGUACGACUGUUUAAUUAAAACACAGCACUCUGCUGAAAGAUUAAAAAUCUAAGUAUAGAGUGUGAUGUCUGCCCGGUGCCGGCUGGUUAACAGAUAUAAUUCGAUAUACUAAUAUCGGAUGUAGACGGAAACCCCGGUUAAAGGCGGCCUUAACGUGAGGGUCCUAAGGUAGCGAAAUGCCUUGGCCGUUAAAUGCGGUCUUGCAUGAAUGAUGUAACGAUACAACAGCUGUCUCUAUGAUUGACUCAGUGAAAUUGGAAUAGCUGUGCAGAUACAGUUUACCUCUAGUUAGACGAGAAGACCCUAUGCAGCUUUACUGUCACUAAUUAUAGAGUAUGAUAAACAAUUUUCAGAUUAUAAGGUAAUUGACUAAAUGACAAUGAGAAUCCUUUAUUUUUUUUUCAUAUGAAUGAAUUGGUUUAGGAUUAAGAGUUGUAUAGUAAGCUGUAAUUUCUUAUUUCUACUGAAAUAUAGAAACCAGCAAGCUUUCAACUUAUUUUAGUAAAUCAACCUAGUUCAGCUUAUUUUAUUGAAUAAAAUAAGUACCCUUUGGUAAGGAACUAUCGCUAGGGGACAGUUUAUGUGGGGCACAGACCCUGUAAAGAGUAAACAGGAGUGUCUAAUAAUUUAAAAUUAUUUUGUUUGCGAUUUAAGGUAGUAAGCUAUUUAAUAUAGCUACAACUAUUUUUAAUCAUAUAUUAAUUAUUUAUAUGUACGUUCUUCGGUUGGUUAGAGAUAUAGCUUUGGCCAACACGAAGUCCGUAUAUAUAUUUAAAAUAAGGUAGGAUUUUCACUAUAUUGAAAUUAGAGAUAAUUAAAAAGAUUAUGUUAGACACUAACUAUCUAAUCUUUUUUAACUAUUAAGUUUUAAUAGUUAUGUUUUAAAUAUCUAAAAAGCUCAACGGCUAAAUCUUGCCUUACUGUUUGAUUAUCAACAAAUCUUACAGUUGCGUAAGCAGGGCAUAGGAUCACAAGAUGCAACAAGGAAAGAUCUUGGAUUAUUGGAAAAGCUACGCUAGGGAUGUUUGUCCUUUAAUAUUUUAUUUUGUAUGUAGGUUGGCUAUACUUAUAGCUCUUCUAUAUGCA
This 2902-nucleotide ribosomal RNA is filed under the name Coccinonectria pachysandricola. RNAcentral describes it as "bacterial LSU rRNA". The stretch from base 769 to 2073 matches the Rfam family "Bacterial large subunit ribosomal RNA", at positions 571 to 2044 of the family's 2925-position model. The record is from RNAcentral. Lineage: Eukaryota; Fungi; Ascomycota; Sordariomycetes; Hypocreales; Nectriaceae.